CUGUCCCCCCUUCUUUUUUCCCCCACAGUGUACAUAUGCAUGUUUAUUAUACACAUGCAUACUAAGUAUUAAGACGAAAUCUAAAAUGGCUCAUUCAGUCAGUUAUGGUUCUUUGGAUCAUACCUUGCUACUUGAAUAACUGUGCCAAUUCCAGAGUUAAUACAUGCAGCACAGCUCCAACCCUUUGGGGAUGAGCGUUUUUAUUAGACCAAAACUAAUGAGAUCUUGUGUCCAAAGUAUGUGAUAGCAUAACUUUGGACUGAUCACACCAGCUCGUCCCAGUGAAGUACCUUUCAAGUGUCUACCUUAUCAACUGUCAAUCGCAAGUUGUGUGCCUAUCAUGGUCACAAUGGACGAAGAGUAACCAGAGUUCAAUUCUGGAAAGGUAGUCUGAGAAAUGGCUACCACAUCCAAGAUAGGCAGGAAGAAUGCAAAUUACCCACUCCCAGACCGGGAAGGUAGCGACAAAAGAUAACAGAACAAGACUCCUUUAAGACCCCAUAAAUGGAGUACACUCUAAAUCCUUUAAUGAGGUUCAAUUGGGGGCAAGCCUGGUAGCUGCUACUGGGGUAGUGUAUAUUAAUGUUGUUGCAGUUAAAAAGCUCAUAGCUGGAUUUCAGUUCUAGGUGGGUGGUCUGCCCAUCGAUGAACAUUCUAAACAGUCAGUCAGUUUUCUUUGAUGAUCUUCACCAGUUGUUUUGAGUGACCAUAAGUUUACAUUGAAAAAAAUCAUCGCUCAAAGCAGGCAUAAAGACUAUAAAAAAUAAGCAGUCUCACUUGCUCCUACAUCAAACCUUUUUG
Molecule: non-coding RNA, 801 nt
Filed under: Stegodyphus mimosarum
Lineage: Eukaryota; Metazoa; Arthropoda; Arachnida; Araneae; Eresidae
Description: Eukaryotic small subunit ribosomal RNA
Rfam family: Eukaryotic small subunit ribosomal RNA
Source: Rfam by way of RNAcentral